This 492-nucleotide ribosomal RNA is filed under the name uncultured bacterium. RNAcentral describes it as "partial 16S ribosomal RNA". It matches the Rfam family "Bacterial small subunit ribosomal RNA", at positions 29 to 507 of the family's 1533-position model. The record is from RNAcentral.
AGUGAACGCUGGCGGUAGGCCUAACACAUGCAAGUCGAACGGCAGCACAGUAAGAGCUUGCUCUUACGGGUGGCGAGUGGCGGACGGGUGAGGAAUACAUCGGAAUCUACUUUUUCGUGGGGGAUAACGUAGGGAAACUUACGCUAAUACCGCAUACGACCUACGGGUGAAAGCAGGGGAUCUUCGGACCUUGCGCGAUUGAAUGAGCCGAUGUCGGAUUAGCUAGUUGGCGGGGUAAAGGCCCACCAAGGCGACGAUCCGUAGCUGGUCUGAGAGGAUGAUCAGCCACACUGGAACUGAGACACGGUCCAGACUACUACGGGAGGGAGCAGUGGGGAAUGUUGGACAAUGGGCGCAAGCCUGAUCCAGCCAUACCGCGUGGGUGAAGAAGGCCUUCGGGUUGUAAAGCCCUUUUGUUGGGAAAGAAAAGCAGCAGGUUAAUACCCCGCUGUUCUGACGGUACCCAAAGAAUAAGCACCGGCUAACUUCGUG